AUGGUGCGUUUGGUUUCCGAAAAAUGGAUGGGAAAGGAAGCGUAUUUGAAGGAUAUUAUUUUUUCUGUAUGUUUGUUUCAAAUGAAAACCCGGGAAAGAAAAGGAAACACCAGGGAUGCGGGUGGGUCACACUAAUUUGGUGAGAUCCCGCUGAGAAAGGAAAAAAGGCGAGAAAAUUUUGUCGAGAGCCCUCUCAUAGACAUCGUUGCCUCGCUUUUUCUCAUCCAAUGGUCACAUCUCCGGUGUCAUCUCUGGUGUUCCCGUUGGAUGGUAAGUGUAGUUCCGACACUAUCUCCAUUUGAUGGGUGGCCAUUGAAAUCUCACCGCUGGCUCCAUCCGUUUGUGGUCAUCUAGACCUCACCGCCAGCGUUCUCGACAAAGGUUUUAAUGGCCAAAUAUUAUGUUGUCUUCAAAGGUCGUUGCCCUGGAGUGUACUUUAAAUGGGCAGAGUGCAAUGCACAGGUACACUGAUUUAGGGGAGCAAUUUAUUGCGUGUACACCACAUAUGAAGACGCUAUACACCAAUUCCGUAUGUAUCAAAACAGAUUUUCCACACCAAAUAGUCUACAUCAACUUAAAUCCGAGGAAGGAUGCUCUUCUACACAAGAUAAUGCUUGAAACAACGAAUCAGUGGAAGAAAAAACUAGGCUAGAAUGUUUCAUUAUUAGUUUUCUUGUAGUAGCUAUGAUUAUCUUAUAUUAUAUGAAAUGAGAAACAAUAUAUAAUGUAAGCAAGUACUGUGCACAAUAUGGAACAUGAUAGUUAUCAUUUUGUCGAAUGUGGUUGCGAUA
This is a long non-coding RNA of Nelumbo nucifera (sacred lotus), 791 nucleotides long. RefSeq lists it as uncharacterized. The record is from RefSeq and is a predicted model, not a curated record. NCBI's taxonomy places the organism in Eukaryota, Viridiplantae, Streptophyta, Magnoliopsida, Proteales, Nelumbonaceae.